UCGUUCCAGCUCCUCAGGGAUCAUUUCGAUAGCUUGUUAUCAGAGAACUUUCUCUGAUUGUGAAGAGCAUCUGAAACCACGAAGAAGAGUCACAGUAUCUACUUCUGAUAAGUGUGAAGCUAGUUCUAGGUGUUGCUUUUGCAACUGUCCUUUGCCAUUGAUGAUCAUUCUUCUCUUCCUUCUGGAAGGGCUAAUCUGAGUGGU
Suncus etruscus (white-toothed pygmy shrew) is the source of this 204-nucleotide small nucleolar RNA. RefSeq annotates it as small nucleolar RNA U3. The transcript has a single exon. Lineage: Eukaryota; Metazoa; Chordata; Mammalia; Eulipotyphla; Soricidae. The record is from RefSeq and is a predicted model, not a curated record.